GAUGAACGCUGGCGGCGUGCCUAAUACAUGCAAGUCGAGCGAACGGACGAGAAGCUUGCUUCUCUGAUGUUAGCGGCGGACGGGUGAGUAACACGUGGAUAACCUACCUAUAAGACUGGGAUAACUUCGGGAAACCGGAGCUAAUACCGGAUAAUAUUUUGAACCGCAUGGUUCAAAAGUGAAAGACGGUCUUGCUGUCACUUAUAGAUGGAUCCGCGCUGCAUUAGCUAGUUGGUAAGGUAACGGCUUACCAAGGCAACGAUGCAUAGCCGACCUGAGAGGGUGAUCGGCCACACUGGAACUGAGACACGGUCCAGACUCCUACGGGAGGCAGCAGUAGGGAAUCUUCCGCAAUGGGCGAAAGCCUGACGGAGCAACGCCGCGUGAGUGAUGAAGGUCUUCGGAUCGUAAAACUCUGUUAUUAGGGAAGAACAUAUGUGUAAGUAACUGUGCACAUCUUGACGGUACCUAAUCAGAAAGCCACGGCUAACUACGUGCCAGCAGCCGCGGUAAUACGUAGGUGGCAAGCGUUAUCCGGAAUUAUUGGGCGUAAAGCGCGCGUAGGCGGUUUUUUAAGUCUGAUGUGAAAGCCCACGGCUCAACCGUGGAGGGUCAUUGGAAACUGGAAAACUUGAGUGCAGAAGAGGAAAGUGGAAUUCCAUGUGUAGCGGUGAAAUGCGCAGAGAUAUGGAGGAACACCAGUGGCGAAGGCGACUUUCUGGUCUGUAACUGACGCUGAUGUGCGAAAGCGUGGGGAUCAAACAGGAUUAGAUACCCUGGUAGUCCACGCCGUAAACGAUGAGUGCUAAGUGUUAGGGGGUUUCCGCCCCUUAGUGCUGCAGCUAACGCAUUAAGCACUCCGCCUGGGGAGUACGACCGCAAGGUUGAAACUCAAAGGAAUUGACGGGGACCCGCACAAGCGGUGGAGCAUGUGGUUUAAUUCGAAGCAACGCGAAGAACCUUACCAAAUCUUGACAUCCUUUGACAACUCUAGAGAUAGAGCCUUCCCCUUCGGGGGACAAAGUGACAGGUGGUGCAUGGUUGUCGUCAGCUCGUGUCGUGAGAUGUUGGGUUAAGUCCCGCAACGAGCGCAACCCUUAAGCUUAGUUGCCAUCAUUAAGUUGGGCACUCUAAGUUGACUGCCGGUGACAAACCGGAGGAAGGUGGGGAUGACGUCAAAUCAUCAUGCCCCUUAUGAUUUGGGCUACACACGUGCUACAAUGAACAAUACAAAGGGCAGCGAAACCGCGAGGUCAAGCAAAUCCCAUAAAGUUGUUCUCAGUUCGGAUUGUAGUCUGCAACUCGACUACAUGAAGCUGGAAUCGCUAGUAAUCGUAGAUCAGCAUGCUAUGGUGAAUACGUUCCCGGGUCU
Molecule: ribosomal RNA, 1372 nt
Filed under: uncultured bacterium
Lineage: Bacteria
Description: bacterial SSU rRNA
Rfam family: Bacterial small subunit ribosomal RNA
Source: RNAcentral